AGUGGGGAAUAUUGCGCAAUGGGGGAAACCCUGACGCAGCGACGCCGCGUGGGUGAUGAAGGCCUUCGGGUCGUAAAGCCCUGUCGGAGGGGAAGAAGGACUCUCGUGCAAAUAGUUCGAGGGUUUGACGGUACCCUUAGAGGAAGCACCGGCUAACUCCGUGCCAGCAGCCGCGGUAAUACGGAGGGUGCAAGCGUUGCUCGGAAUUACUGGGCGUAAAGGGCGUGUAGGCGGUUUCGUAUGUCUGGCGUGAAAGCCCCGGGCUCACCUCGGGAAGUGCGUCGGAAACUGCGAGACUAGAGUCCCGGAGAGGGAGGUGGAAUUCCAGGUGUAGCGGUGAAAUGCGUAGAUAUCUGGAAGAACACCGGUGGCGAAAGCGGCCUCCUGGACGGUGACUGACGCUGAGACGCGAAAGCGUGGGGAGCAAA
RNAcentral lists this ribosomal RNA (428 nucleotides) under uncultured delta proteobacterium. RNAcentral's name for it is "bacterial SSU rRNA". It matches the Rfam family "Bacterial small subunit ribosomal RNA", at positions 353 to 772 of the family's 1533-position model. Lineage: Bacteria; Deltaproteobacteria. The record is from RNAcentral.